CGCUGGCGGCGUGCUUAACACAUGCAAGUCGCACGAGAACGCUUUAGCUUGCUAAAGCCAGUAAAGUGGCGCACGGGUGAGUAACGCGUGGGUAAUCUACCCCUGAAUUUGGGAUAACGUUGCGAAAGCGACGCUAAUACCGGAUAAUAUCUUUUUAAUUUCGGUUAGAAAGAUCAAAGGUGGCCUCUACAUGUAAGCUACUGUUUGGGGAUGAGCCCGCGUACCAUUAGCUAGUUGGUAGGGUAACGGCCUACCAAGGCAGCGAUGGUUAGCUGGUCUGAGAGGAUGAUCAGCCACACUGGAACUGACACACGGUCCAGACUCCUAUGGGAGGCAGCAGUGAGGAAUUUUGCGCAAUGGGGGAAACCCUGACGCAGCAACGCCGCGUGAGUGAUGAAGGCCUUCGGGUCGUAAAGCUCUGUCAAGUGGGAAGAACCUGAUUAUUGUUAAUAUCAGUAAUCACUGACGGUACCACUGAAGGAAGCACCGGCUAACUCCGUGCCAGCAGCCGCGGUAAUACGGGGGGUGCAAGCGUUAUUCGGAAUUAUUGGGCGUAAAGAGCGCGUAGGCGGCCAGUUAAGUCAGAUGUGAAAUCCCGGGGCUCAACCCCGGAAGUGCAUUUGAAACUAAUUGGCUUGAGUAUGGGAGAGGGAAGUGGAAUUCCUGGUGUAGAGGUGAAAUUCGUAGAUAUCAGGAGGAACACCGGUGGCGAA
Molecule: ribosomal RNA, 713 nt
Filed under: uncultured bacterium
Lineage: Bacteria
Description: bacterial SSU rRNA
Rfam family: Bacterial small subunit ribosomal RNA
Source: RNAcentral